RNAcentral lists this ribosomal RNA (427 nucleotides) under uncultured bacterium. RNAcentral describes it as "bacterial SSU rRNA". It matches the Rfam family "Bacterial small subunit ribosomal RNA", at positions 355 to 775 of the family's 1533-position model. The record is from RNAcentral.
UGGGGAAUCUUGCGCAAUGGGCGAAAGCCUGACGCAGCGACGCCGCGUGAGUGAUGAAGGCCUUCGGGUUGUAAAGCUCUGUGGGGCGAGAAGAAUUAGUGCAGCCUAAUACGCUGCAUGAUGACGGUAUCGCCUUAGCAAGCACCGGCUAACUCUGUGCCAGCAGCCGCGGUAAGACAGAGGGUGCAAACGUUGUUCGGAAUUACUGGGCGUAAAGCGAGUGUAGGCGGUCUGAAAAGUCGGAUGUGAAAGCCCCGGGCUCAACCCGGGAAGUGCAUUCGAAACUGCCAGGCUAGAGUAUCGGAGAGGUUGGUGGAAUUCUCGGUGUAGAGGUGAAAUUCGUAGAUAUCGAGAGGAACACCGGUGGCGAAGGCGGCCAACUGGACGAAUACUGACGCUGAGACUCGAAAGCGUGGGGAGCAAACAG